Molecule: transfer RNA, 91 nt
Filed under: Diaphorina citri (Asian citrus psyllid)
Lineage: Eukaryota; Metazoa; Arthropoda; Insecta; Hemiptera; Psyllidae
Rfam family: tRNA
About the family: Transfer RNA (tRNA) molecules are approximately 80 nucleotides in length.
Source: Rfam by way of RNAcentral
CCUUCGGUAGCUCAGUUGGUAGAGCGGUGGACUGUAGUUUGAACUGUGAAUAGUAAUCCAUAGGUCGCUGGUUCAAAUCCGGCUCGAAGGA